CAAUGUGGCAGUAAAUAAAGGGAAAAAAGAAGUCUAUCCUUUCGAGCGCCGCACGGGGCGAGAAGCUCAGCGCUAUGGCGAUGCGGCGCUCGAAGCUCAGCGCUAUGGCGAUGGCGGAGGCGGCAGACGACGGAUUUCAGUUCCUAUCAGAUCCAACCGACAGAUUCCCAUUGCCGGAUCUCGCCGUAGACGAGUAUUUGCUGCGCAGCGAAACAGAUCAAUCUCUGCUAUGCGCCGUCGCUCAAUCCAGCAAUAGUGGUGUGGCCAUGCGGCAGUCACGGUACAACAAGAACAUGACAGUCGUUCCAAAAGGAUCGCCCUGUCGAGUUCAGUGCAUUCGACAGACAGAGACGAUGGACAAGCAUCUGACUUGCCCAACAAGUAUACAUAUGCGGCGGAGUGGUUCUACUUGAAGCACAUACUAAUUCUGAUUGUUGUGCAUGAUCCUAGAGGGUUGACAUAUAAUGAACUUUCUUGAUUAUCCCAGAGAAGAGUGGUUUAUAGUUAUACUCAUGAUACCUUGACCAGUGUAGCACUCGGACUUGGUAUUGAAACUGAUACAUAUUUCUGAACAAUGCAUUCAAAAAUUUGGUUACAAUUAUAUGUCACUAAUUCCUACUAUUAUGUGAAACAUGGUUUUCACUUCCCGGACCUCAGCGGCAGUAAAUCAUUACUGGAUGGCGAAGCAAUUCAAACUUUGGUGUGCACAGCCACUGAAUCCAGCAUUGGUGAUGUGGGCGAUACAGAAGAGACAAUACAAGUAGAUGUCAACAGCACUUGCAAUGGAGUGGCCCUGUCCCUGGCAAACUCAGAACAUUCAACAAGCAAAGAUAACCCGCAAGCACCUGGCUGGACAAAGAGGUAUACAAGUGUCAAUGCGUGUUUCUAUUUCGAACAUAUGCCAACUUUGACUGGCAUGUAUGUUCCCUCAAAAAAUACAAUAGUGUAGUUAAAGUGUUGAACAUUUGUAUUGUUUGUGGGAGUCAACAAUCACUUCCAAAGUGUGAUUUUCGGUGGGGGUCUUAGUAAGGGAUGAGACAGUGGAAACAUUUACAUUGGUGUUCACUGGAUUUAUCCGCAUGAUGGGCGGCAAACAUCCACAGAACUUGCUCACAGUGCAGAGCCGUGGAGGUUGUAGCAAUAGAUAAGGUGAUGCCAAAUACCAGACAUCGCUGGUGCAAGUGGCAUGGCCUGGAGAAGGCAAAAGAAUCUCAUGGCUCAAAUUGCACAAAGAGAAGCAAGUUUAGAACGGACUUCCACAAGAUAAUACACCACGUGCUGACAGCUGAUGUGUUUGAGACUGGAUGGAAUUGAUUGACAGAAACACAUGGUUUGCAAAAACACCCUUACCUUACUCAAAUCUACUCCGUGCAGAACCAUAUUUCAAGAACACAACCGCCACCGUGCAUCACAUGUAGUUGUUGUGCACGACGCAAUGUGUUUAGAAGACAGAAUUCAGUCGAACAAGUCGAAAGGUAAAGAAGUGAUUGUGUUGCAUGAACCACACAAUGGAUAUGGGCUGAUGUUGUAGGUAGUGCAGUUGGAAAUUUCAUUGGGUUAACUGCUACAGAGCGUAAAUGGAAGGUCGGUCGACCAACCAGCAGCAGGGACAAGCCUCCAUAUAUGAUGAUCGCUGUGCAAAGAGCCAAAAAUGUAAGUUGGUGCCACAUAUGGGUGUUGCUGGAGAAUUUGGUACAAGCAAGCAUCCACGCUUUUGCAGUAUAUGUCGUCAGCCAGGGCACAAGAGCACCACGUAUCCAUAGAGCGGUGACCUCCCUCAAAUGGCAUGAAAAGAAGCAAAAUGCUCGAACUGCGGAGUGGGAGGGAUCGGAAGAACACCUGCAACAACCCUAAGGUUGUGCUACAUGUUGCCGAGAAAGGUGCCCUUGUACGGGCUGUAGCUCUGUGAUUGAACUGAAUAAGCAGUGCGUAGCACUGACAUUUGGUUGUUUUUCCUUGUAUGAUGAGGCUUAGUAGCCAUUGGUGUGAAAUGGAUUAUGCAUUGUCGGGUUAGUAAUUGUGAUGAUGUUUCUCUUCGAUUAGUCUCAA
RNA transcript from Triticum dicoccoides, 2049 nucleotides. RefSeq lists it as uncharacterized. The record is from RefSeq and is a predicted model, not a curated record. NCBI's taxonomy places the organism in Eukaryota, Viridiplantae, Streptophyta, Magnoliopsida, Poales, Poaceae. The transcript has 3 exons.